Molecule: long non-coding RNA, 1087 nt
Filed under: Citrus x clementina
Lineage: Eukaryota; Viridiplantae; Streptophyta; Magnoliopsida; Sapindales; Rutaceae
Description: Citrus clementina (C. clementina) long non-coding RNA (CCLE_LNC004692)
Source: RNAcentral
ACAAGUGCUGGCAAUGGCAGAUGCCACCUAGUGAAAUUUCAUUCUUUUCAGACGGAGAAGAGAACACUGGAGGCAAUGAAUUCUAUCAGGAAGUGAUCAACCAACCAGAUCCUCCUAUCUUUGAGGUCAACAUUCUUGAAGAAUCAAUCGAUGAAGCAUUAGUCGUUGAUGAAUUUCCUAUUAACCCAAGACCUUGUCAAUUUCACCAUAUACAAAAAUCCCGGCAUCCCAUAGAAUAGAUAUGUGCUCCUGAAAGACAUCAAUUGCAGGGUCAAGUUUCAAGCAUAGCAAUAUUCGAAGAUAUUUAAAAUGCAGCACCGGAAAGCGAAAACAUCAAAACAAUUUCUCCACAAAGUUCACGAUUGAAGCCUCAUUAGAUUGUACAAUGUGUGUGUGUGUGCGCGCGCACGCGCGGGGGCCGCGAUGUGUAAUAUAUACGUAUAAAGAUUUUAAACUCCACAAAAUUUAUGUUUGCAGGUGAGAGCAGCUGCACCGCACGUUAGUGAUCUAUCUCAAAAGGAACACAAGGCCGAUGAGCUUGAUGAGGACCAGAAAAUGCCUCGAACUGCUGAUGCUAAGUUUGAGGUCCAGUGAGUCAGAUGCCAGAAAUAGAAGGGGUUCUUUUCUUCUUCUGGUGAGGACUCCAUUUGACCUUACAACUAAUCCACCAUCAGUAUGCAUUCGCUAUAUGCUUCUCAGUCCCAUUUCGAUCAUUUUCUUUACUUAAGAAUGGCCUCUCUUCACUGGGCUAUGCUAUUCUUACCACGACGGCACGUCUCAUGAUGAUGCUGCUUGUGCUAAAAUCCUCGCUUAGAGUUUCGAAAUCCUAGUGUCAUUUACGAUAAAAUAAAAAUAAAAGUAUGAAAAGUCCUGAAUCGUGAUGUUGAAUGUAAAUUUCUGUGUACACUUGCCAUGUGGUUGUACUUGUACAAGCUACACAUUGUGUAAAACUUGCUACUACCUUUGGUAUUGUUUACAAGAAGUUUGAAUUGAGGAGACCGAAGUGAAUUUGCUCUUCCAUAGAAAUUGUCUCACACUUUUAAGGGAGUUGCCCGUGAUGUUCAAUUCCAUUGUGGUUAAUUAAGUG